AGAGUGGGCCAGGCGGUCGCCCGGGGCGCGAGAGCGCUUCGGGAGGAAAGUCCGAACUGGUCCGGGCGCGGUGAUGGCUAACGGCCACCGGCGGCGACGCCAGGGACAGUGCCACAGAGAUGAGACCGCCGAUGGGUGCCGGCUCUCGAGACGGCAUCACAGGCAAGGGUGAAACGGUGCGGUAAGAGCGCACCGCGCGGCCGGCGACGGUCGCGGCACGGCAAACCCCACCGCCAGCAAGCCCAUGUAAGCGGCGAGUCCGCAGCGACGAAAGCCUGCGAUUGUCGAUUUCGAUCGACGAGUGCGGGCGCGAUCGGCGAAAGCUGAUCGGCGUCGCGGCGGCGCGAGGCGGCCCGUCUCGCACCACGCCGCGGGUAGGGCGCUUGAGCCGGCGAGCAAUCGUCGGCCCAGAGAAAUGAUCGCCACCGCGGGAGCGAUCCUGCGGGACAGAAUUCGGCUUACCGGCCCACUCUGCUU
Molecule: RNase P RNA, 477 nt
Filed under: Planctomycetota bacterium
Lineage: Bacteria; Pseudomonadati; Planctomycetota
Also listed under: 1 other name
Description: Planctomycetes bacterium RNase P RNA component class A
Rfam family: Bacterial RNase P class A
About the family: Ribonuclease P (RNase P) is a ubiquitous endoribonuclease, found in archaea, bacteria and eukarya as well as chloroplasts and mitochondria.
Source: RNAcentral